UACGUAGGGUGCAAGCGUUGUCCGGAAUUAUUGGGCGUAAAGAGCGUGUAGGCGGCCCGAUUAGUCCGCUGUGAAAGUCCAGGGCUCAACCCUGGAAUGCCGGUGGAUACUGUCAGGCUAGAGUCCGGAAGAGGCGAGUGGAAUUCCUGGUGUAGCGGUGAAAUGCGCAGAUAUCAGGAGGAACACCGAUGGCGAAGGCAGCUCGCUGGGACGGUACUGACGCUGAGACGCGAAAGCGUGGGGAGCGAACAGG
This 253-nucleotide ribosomal RNA is filed under the name uncultured bacterium. RNAcentral describes it as "partial 16S ribosomal RNA". It matches the Rfam family "Bacterial small subunit ribosomal RNA", at positions 524 to 776 of the family's 1533-position model. The record is from RNAcentral.